Long non-coding RNA from Gigantopelta aegis, 228 nucleotides. RefSeq lists it as uncharacterized. The record is from RefSeq and is a predicted model, not a curated record. Lineage: Eukaryota; Metazoa; Mollusca; Gastropoda; Neomphalida; Peltospiridae. The transcript has 3 exons.
GAUUAGAGAGGUCACAAACGUGAUGACUCUGAUGUAAACAGAUCCCAGUUCCGUUUGACUUUCAACUUCAAAAGCAAAUGCACGAUGCCGCUGAGGGCAUUGUUACGGUAUUUGCUGAACAAUGAACAAAUAAUCCAGAAGCUUGCAGACAGCUACCCAAUCAGACGAGCUGCCCAGCUGACAGCCUUCAUGUUUCACCGAGGUCGGGAAGUCGGUAUGUAACACACU